This is a long non-coding RNA of Numida meleagris (helmeted guineafowl), 6071 nucleotides long. RefSeq lists it as uncharacterized. The transcript is spliced from 3 exons. Lineage: Eukaryota; Metazoa; Chordata; Aves; Galliformes; Numididae. The record is from RefSeq and is a predicted model, not a curated record.
UCAUUUACGCUUGGCUCCUGGAGAGGGUAUUUCAGUUCUAAGUGUCCUUUGAUAACAGUGAGAAACACCUGCUGAGUAAGAGGAAAAAGCUUGUGCAGACAGGCUAACUCAAGGAAACCAGAGACAUCUCUGACUAGUGGAGAAGCAGCCACGAGCAGGCAAGGACAGGAAAGAUUUAUGUGCUUGAAGGCUGUCUUAUACAAAGUGUAUCAGCAGCAGAGAAGAGGUGUGAAUUUGAAUCCUGGCUGAAGCUGGAAAAGAGAGGAUGAGAUUGGCUGGUGUGGGACACUAAGGACUCAGCUGUGAAAACGGAUGGAAGAGACAUCAUCCUUGUGUACUACACAAAUGUUCAGGCAUCAAAGCUAAACUGUAAACCCAAGGAGAUGAUGAUUCCAAGUUUAAUGGAAAACCAAGAGCGUACUAUGGAUUACACUCACAAAACACACUUAUUUCCAGAAGAGUAAAACAUCAAGUGCCAAAAAAACCCAGAGACAUUUAGUGCCAAACUGCAGUUCAGUGGCAAUUUUUCCCAUACCAUAAGGAACCUGCUGCUGGGAACACUUCAUCUCAACUCCCGACACCCCUAGUAGGGUACCAUCUUAUCAGCUCAUGAGCAUUUAUAGCCUAUGUUGGCAUUUAGUCUGUCACUCACAUGCCAUUUUUCUGGUUCUCUAGUGUUCAUUGGUGGUCUGUUCUUCAAAAAGUUUGGUCGUUUCUGAGCCACACCAUGGCAGUGCAUGAGCAGCAGAAGCCUUCAACAGUGGUGGGGGAAGUUUUUAUCCUCUGACAGCAGGAUAGAAGGCUCCAUUUUCUCCACGAGUAACGUGCUGGGAGAACCUUGUGUCAAAACUGAGAUUCGGAGAGCUGUAGUUGACCAAGAAUCAUAAAUGAGGCAGAGCAGAAGUAUAGAUUAACAUUGUUCACAUGUGAUUCCUUCAACUAUUUUUUCUUUUUUGAUAUGUUGUCCCAGACACCAUGAAAACGAUAAUUUCAUGACUUGUCGUUAUUCAAAUCAAACAAAUAACAACAAAACAAACAAAAAAUAUAAAGGGCAAAAUGGCUGUGUUCUCCUUGAAAUGUCUUCACAUCCCACAUCUCUCAGAUACAGAAGCUGAGGAUCAAUUCUUUCUUUUACACCAAAAAAAAAAACAAAAAAAAUCAAGUCACUUUCAGUGCUUGUUUUGGAAAGACAAACAUCAUUUGGAAGAGCUGGCAGACAAACAUCAUUUGGAAGAGUUGUCUUGUUGCAUUUGUCAAAAAAAUAUUCUUACAGUGUCAUUCCCUUCUCAGUAAUUGAUUGUAGUAACUUCAACUGGAUUUUUUUUUUUAACUUGGAAUUAUUUUCUGCUAUUACACAACCAACUUGGAGUUGGCUAUUGAUUCAUUCAAAUCAGUUCAGUAUUGUUCCAGACUUCUAAGAAGAAAAUAUUUUUUUCCACCAGCAUAUCUUGAAGAAUGUAAUUUGGAAUUGUAAAGAUUCCCCAAGCCCCAACCCACUUUACUAUGGUUUAUGAGUUCCUCCUAACUUCACUCAUCUGGAGAAAAGUGAGGCACGUAAGACUCCAGUAAACACUACUUAUUAGUAGUUACAACAAUCCAGAAAAGUGAUGUCAUUGAAAGUUCAGUAUUUUGGACCAACACUUACACAAAUGUUCUGCUCAAGUGUCUCUGCGAAUUAUAAACAAAGUCCAAUGGGAUUUUUUAGGAAUGAGAAGGUUUUCCUGGAAAAAACAUUAGCAAUACUGAAAGAGCUCGAUGGUAACUCUGGGGGCUCAUUUUGAUGAAGGUGAAGAUGAGGAGGUGACCAGCUGUCUCAGAGUCAUUGAACAGGAUCAGAAAAUCUUAUUGUUAUGUUGCUGAUUUUGGCAUUAGCAUUCUGGCCUGCUAUGAUCUGGAACCUUUUCUUCACUGGCCAGCCCUGAGCACAGACUGUUUUCAUUUUACAUCGUAUUUGCAGUAUUUGUAAAACUGUUAGCUUGUGAGCACAUUUUCUGACAUCUAGAGUCAAGUGCUGCCGGCACUGAAGAGUCUCAUGAGAGCAUCCUGUAUAAUAUAGGUACGCGUACAUAACGUUUCUGCAUAAACCAGACAUAUAGACAUCCUCUCGCCUUUCCUCUGCUGUGAAGCUGGUGUUCAUUUGCCUAAUUCAGUGUAUAGUCAUUAACUUAUUUUUAAUGCGUACAUUACUUCUUCUGUCAUUUUAGCCAGCGUUUUGCUCGCACACUACCAAUCAUGUCAGUUGAAGUUCCCUGUAUUUGAUACAUCAUUUUAAGAAUACAAUUAUCAUUUUCUGCUGGCUUCUCUGCCACUUUGAGUCAUAAAAUUAAAUUUACCUUUAAAGCCAGGAGAUUAUUUAUGAAACGCUAAACACGAAGCUCUCCCUCCCCCCAGAAUUGACUCAGACAAGAACAAAAGGAGUAAUCAUGGGUGAUAAUUGCAUUGUCUCAUUCCAUUUUCUUCUGAAAUCUUAUUAUAGCUGUCCCAAGAAAAUAUGCAUUAUACAAUCCUAGUAAUGAAAUAGUAAUUCUAAAAGCUAUUUGUCUAUAAAAAUAUAGAGUUGAUCCUUUAGUCCUUGGAAAUAGGAGGUAAUUGCAUUGGUGUGCCAUUUCAUAGAGACCAUCACUAGAAUAUUAAAUCCAGGAUCAGAGUACUGACUUUUCUAUCUCGUAAAGCGUUGGAAGAAUAGAAACACAUCAAAAGAAUUGCAGAGAGAGUAUUCCAGCAAAGAGAUGAUUUCUCAGUCUGUGCGGUUUUGUUUCUGAUAGAAAAAAUGCAUGCAAGAUCCAAUGGCAAAAAAACUGAUUAAAAUUCCAGAGGCUGAGGCAAAAGGGUCUGACAAGUUGAUCACCCUGGUACCUUCAGGCCUUAAAAUCUACUAAUCAGAUACAUAGGUUAGGAAAACAAUAGGAUAUUUUCAAGAAUGGAUCAGAUGUACAUUAUCCAAAGUACAAGUUUGGAUCCACUUUGGUACAACAGAAAGUCCAACAGCUGAGAUGUUGACAUUGAUAUAAGUCUGAUGAGAGGUAUCAUCACAUGGAUAUCUAUGAUGCAGAUUAGCAGUAGACCAGUAAAAAUACACAAACAUGUCAUAUGCUCAUGUAUUUUUAACAGAAAGAACCAACCAUGCUCAUCUCAUGAACGAGAGAGAAAACAACCCAGAAUUUAGUUAUUGUAUAUAUACAAACAGAAAAAUUCCUAAUUGUUAAUCCACUCAAACUAAAUAAUAAACUGAUACAUAUAAUCUCUUUAGACUACAAUUUAAUUCUGCUUGCUGCUACAGUAAGGAGUUCCAUAAAUGUAGAUGUAUGUAGGAAAAUAGUAUCUGGGAAUUUAUCUUAUUGAACACAGACCGCCGUAUAUAUGCAAGUCCUUGUAUGUAGAAUAGAAAUUACAGAAAUCCUUUAUUUUUGAGGGAGAGGGGGAAAUAAACCAGCUCAAAUCCCAGUGAUGUAGUGAAGUGCUACAGAACCACCGUGGUCUCUCAGUUCUUGUCAGAGGGUGAAUAGUACAAAAAUAGCGAGAGAGAACCACAGAUAACUUAAGGUUGACCUUAGGUUAUGGAACUGAUAAAGUGUUAAGUAUAGUUAAAAUAAAUACUUGGUUGUAUUUUAUUUUUCCAUGGAAUACUGUAGGGAUAAGGGCAAGUGAAUUCUUAAUGCAGGAGAACAGCACGUCUUCUAGCAGUCUCAAGAGAGUAAUAACAGUCUUACAUAAAUUACAAAAAAAGGAAAGUAUAAUCGUAAGCUCUGUUCCAAAAUUAUUCUAAGUGUCAGCUUUAGAUUCUGUGCCUUUAAAAGCUGGGAGUUUAGCAAAAAUGUCAAGCUGCGUAAUUUCCCGCUGGCUAGAAAAAUACUGCUGAUGUUUUUUCAAGUGGAACUGAGCAAAAAUCCUUAUCUCAUUCAAACAGCAAGUACUUUUCUUUCUGUGUCCUACAAUAAGACAUCAGGUGAAUUCCUUGCUUUUCCUAAUAUGCCAAACUGGGACAUCCUGGCUCCUUAUUUCUACUGCUGACUUUUAAGAGCUGCCCUGUGCCGCAUAUUUUGGUUGCAAGACUCAACAUUAAUCUAUAAAAAAAAAUCCAGAAUUCAAUUACUAUAAGCUCAACACAGACUCAUUCAUCCACAACUUCAGCUAUGCAAAAUUCCAGGACUCAUCCAUCCAGCAAGGCUUGAACAACAAAACCAAAACAUUUCUCCUGGACUUUUCAGAUUGUAUCACACAACGAGAUGAAACGAAGCCCAAAACGAACAGACACAGGAUAAAGGUGUCCCUUGCAGCUCAAAGCCACGGUCUUUAAAUCGGUGCAUCCAUCAGCUGGUAACAGUUUCAGAGACAAAAUGGAGAGGGACACAUGUCAGAUUUGAACAUCACAGGGUUUUUGAUUUGAAGUGUGUAGAGUGAGGCAGAAAGCCAAAGUGAGGUCUUUGUAGAGUACAACAGUCAUCAUUUUGUUCAAAAGAAAGCCUAAAAAAGAAUUAAGCAAAUAGGAAACGCUACUCAGCCUCAUAUAGUUUUGAGCAUGAAUUUUUAGAAUCCUAGAAUCGUUAAGGCUGGAAAAGACCACUAAUGUCACCCUGUCAGACCACUGAUGCAUCCCCACCAUGCCCACUAACCAUGUCCCUCAGUGCCACAUCCACACGGCUCUUGAACACCUCCAGGGAUGGUGACUCCACCAAAAGGGAUUCUGCUUUGAGGACCUUCAAGCACAAUGAUACUGAAGCUGUAAAUAGACGGUAUUGAGAACAGAAGCACCAGAAAUAAAAAGGGACUCAGAAAUAGCUCAGAAGCGGGCCUUAUCAGAGACUUUGGACUUAUCUCCAUGAGCACAUGCUGUCAUUUUGGCAGCUGGCACCCCCACCAAGCAUUAUUCUUAGGUUUGCAAUCUUAGUAACACAUUGGUCUGGUUGAGCUACACUUGUAUGUAGCAGAUCUGGGCGAUCUAGCUCACCUGAAACGAGGAAGGGAAAAAACAGCACAGAUAUUGUUGGCACAGCCCAUCUCUGGGAAAACAACAAAAUUAUUAGAGAAGAAAUGUGUUUUCAGUUGCCUCAGGGCUUGUGUUGAACCUCUGGACCUAGGAUGACUCUUACAGCCAGGACCAAAAAUUAUUCAGAAUUCUCUUGGUACAACUGAAUUCAACCAAAAGGACAAAGGGUGUGCAGGUUCAGAAGCAGCAAGAAAACGGUGUCCAAAUGUAGCCCGUGCCACUUUUUUUGGAAGAGAAAAACUACUUUCCAGCUCAACCAAGGCUCUCGUAUCCCUGCUGCUCAGAGCCUCCCACUGCCGUGUGGGCAAACACGAGACCUGACAGUUAUUUGCAGCAGAAAAUAAAAGAACAAAGAGAGGUGCUGGGGAGAGUUAUUGCGAUCUCCUGACAGCCCAAACGAGAUGAGAUCGGGCAGAAGCGCCCUGGCACUACUUACAGCAGGAAAGUCUAGAAUGCAUUGUUCAAAAACUAGUAAGUUUAGAGGAAGAGUAUUUGGAUCGGAUAAGUAAAUAUGAUUUUUUUAAUUUACUUUUUACCUUUUGAUGAUGAUAUAUUUUCAGAGACAGCGCUCCAACACAAACCAAGUGACCUGACCUAUCAAUAAAAUCAAACAAAUUAAAAAAUUCUGCAAGUACAAAGCAGCUGUAGCUGAGCUGCACAGGAAAAGAAAACACUUGGAAACUGUGCGUAAAUUGUGGAUACUGAACCAUGUUAUGUUUCUGAAAAGAAUCUUGGCGAAUGAAUUUAACAUAAUGACACAUUCAUUGCAAUGUACUUCACAAUGCACUCUGUAGAAAGGAGCCACAGUAAACGUGAUUCAAAAGGAAACAAACAACAGAAACCACCACACAAAAAGCAUUAACUGCCCUAAUACAGCGACUACUCAUGUACCGGUGGGGCUGGUUGUUUUGGUUUCUGUUUUCCUGACUUACACCCGGAGGCAGAGAUCUGCCCAUCCUCCCAGGUGUGCGGUGCCAGGCAGUGAGGGCUGACAAAGCGUGCUGGCUGUCUUCCUUAAGAGAAAUGUUCCCAUUAAAAUGUGGUCUUGGGCUGCGCUGGAACAAGAUGUUUCAUCUUUCCUUGU